This is a long non-coding RNA of Leptinotarsa decemlineata (Colorado potato beetle), 456 nucleotides long. NCBI's taxonomy places the organism in Eukaryota, Metazoa, Arthropoda, Insecta, Coleoptera, Chrysomelidae. The record is from RefSeq and is a predicted model, not a curated record.
GACUAUGGCGACAAACUGCUUGCUUUGACCAAAGUAUGGCACAAUAAAUGCGUUGUUAUCACUGGAGUGACUCAGGCUCAAAUAGACGAAUUGAAAAAUGGACAGUUUGGUGACAACGAGAAUGCGAAGAGAUACAUAUUAUGCCUGUGGAUGUUUUCGGAUGUGCUUAGACCUGACUUCACCAUAAACAUUCCAUUAUUGAAGGAAGUGAUGCCAAAAAAACUGGUCGGACUAACACAAAAGUACCUGGAAUGUUUGAACGAUACAACUUCUGCUGGUACUGAACCGUAUGAAAAAACUUUUGGAAUAGCGAAAUGUAUCUACAAUGCAAAUCCUGAAGAUUUCCUCAUGUUCUGAAUUACCAACAAUGGAGAACUGGAUUCGUCAAAGUUGAUAACUGUCAUUUACUCUGGAUGAUUUUUCUGAAUUCAUUCAAUAAACGAUUCUCCUAAUUGA